RNAcentral lists this ribosomal RNA (398 nucleotides) under uncultured bacterium. RNAcentral's name for it is "bacterial SSU rRNA". It matches the Rfam family "Bacterial small subunit ribosomal RNA", at positions 34 to 423 of the family's 1533-position model. The record is from RNAcentral.
GAAUUCACUAGUGAUUGGCCUAACACAUGCAAGUCGACCGGUAACAGGAAACAGCUUGCUGUUUCGCUGACGAGUGGCGGACGGGUGAGUAAUGUUUGGGAAACUGCCUGAUGGAGGGGGAUAACUACUGGAAACGGUAGCUAAUACCGCAUAACGUCGCAAGACCAAAGAGGGGGACCUUCGGGCCUCUUGCCAUCGGAUGUGCCCAGAUGGGAUUAGCUAGUAGGUGGGGUAACGGCUCACCUAGGCGACGAUCCCUAGCUGGUCUGAGAGGAUGACCAGCCACACUGGAACUGAGACACGGUCCAGACUCCUACGGGAGGCAGCAGUGGGGAAUAUUGCACAAUGGGCGCAAGCCUGAUGCAUCCAAGGGGCGUGUAUGAAGAAGGCCUUCGGGU